Molecule: ribosomal RNA, 510 nt
Filed under: uncultured Glomus
Lineage: Eukaryota; Fungi; Glomeromycota; Glomeromycetes; Glomerales; Glomeraceae
Description: SSU rRNA
Rfam family: Eukaryotic small subunit ribosomal RNA
Source: RNAcentral
AGCAGCCGCGGUAAUUCCAGCUCCAAUAGCGUAUAUUAAAGUUGUUGCAGUUAAAAAGCUCGUAGUUGAAUUUCGGGAUCAAUUAGUCGGUCGUGCCUCUGGUACGUACUGGUUUUAUUGGUUCCUCCCUUCUGACGAAACAUGAUGUCAUUAAUUUGGUGUCGUGGAGAAUCAGGACUGUUACCUUGAAAAAUUAGAGUGUUUAUAGCAGGCUAACGCUUGAAUACAUUAGCAUGGAAUAAUGAAAUAGGACGUUCGACCCUAUUUUGUUGGUUUCUAGGAUCGACGUAAUGAUUAAUAGGGAUAGUUGGGGGCAUUAGUAUUCAAUUGUCAGAGGUGAAAUUCUUGGAUUUAUUGAAGACUAACUACUGCGAAAGCAUUUGCCAAGGAUGUUUUCAUUAAUCAAGAACGAAAGUUAGGGGAUCGAAGACGAUCAGAUACCGUCGUAGUCUUAACCAUAAACUAUGCCGACUAGGGAUCGAAUGAUGUUAAUUUUUAAUGACUCAUUCG